GCCAUGCUCAGUUGGUAGAGCAUGAGACUCUUAAUCUCACGGUCAUGCGUUUGAGCCCCAUGAUGGGCA
Podarcis lilfordi (Lilford's wall lizard) is the source of this 69-nucleotide non-coding RNA. The record is from the annotation of a GenBank genome assembly. NCBI's taxonomy places the organism in Eukaryota, Metazoa, Chordata, Lepidosauria, Squamata, Lacertidae.